CGCACAGUAAACGAUGAAUACUAGCUGUUGGCGAUAUACAGUCAGUGGCACAGCGAAAGCGUUAAGUAUUCCACCUGGGGAGUACGCCGGCAACGGUGAAACUCAAAGGAAUUGACGGGG
This 120-nucleotide ribosomal RNA is filed under the name uncultured bacterium. Its description in RNAcentral is "partial 16S ribosomal RNA". It matches the Rfam family "Bacterial small subunit ribosomal RNA", at positions 796 to 918 of the family's 1533-position model. The record is from RNAcentral.